UCACUUUUCCUUCCUCUCACGGUUUUUUGCAGAAGCAAGUGCUCAGGGAAAUGAAGACAGGAGAACUGCUGCCGUCAUGAGCUAUGCCGACAGUCAGCAGCUGAUCCCCGACAGAAACGCAGCAGAUGCAGACGCUCCUGAUGAAAUCAUCCCUGUGGGGAGUGCAGGGCCAGAUGGGGACUCCAUGGAGACAGCCGACCGGCGACAGCCUUCAGCUCCGACAAAGACACAUCACCUUGCAAAUGACACUUUGCCGUCUGGUUUCUGUGUUUUGUUGUAACAGGUUAAAUGAACCCCUGGGCUUAAUUUUCCCCCUACUUAGUUCUGUGGCAGCAAAGAAAAGUGACUUCUUUUCAUUUCUCAGCUCAAAACUUCUUAAGCCGUGUCUCUUCCUCAUCAUCC
This 402-nucleotide long non-coding RNA is filed under the name Homo sapiens (human). Its description in RNAcentral is "non-protein coding lnc-C13orf42-7:4". The record is from RNAcentral. Lineage: Eukaryota; Metazoa; Chordata; Mammalia; Primates; Hominidae.